Molecule: ribosomal RNA, 388 nt
Filed under: uncultured bacterium
Lineage: Bacteria
Description: bacterial SSU rRNA
Rfam family: Bacterial small subunit ribosomal RNA
Source: RNAcentral
AUUGAACGCUGGCGGCAUGCCUUACACAUGCAAGUCGAACGGCAGCACGGGAGCUUGCUCCUGGUGGCGAAUGGCGAACGGGUGAGUAAUACAUCGGAACGUACCCUGAAGUGGGGGAUAACGUAGCGAAAGUUACGCUAAUACCGCAUAUUCUGUGAGCAGGAAAGAGGGGGAUCGCAAGACCUCUUGCUUUAGGAGCGGCCGAUGUCGGAUUAGCUAGUUGGUGAGGUAAAGGCUCACCAAGGCGACGAUCCGUAGCGGGUCUGAGAGGAUGAUCCGCCACACUGGGACUGAGACACGGCCCAGACUCCUACGGGAGGCAGCAGUGGGGAAUUUUGGACAAUGGGCGCAAGCCUGAUCCAGCCAUGCCGCGUGAGUGAAGAAGGCC